CCGGAUAAGCUCAUCAGUGCUGACAGAGUGACAGAAACUUCUUUUAAAUUGAAAGCUUAACUGGCAAGCUAGCGAAGCAAUCUCUUGUGGGAGUCCAGGCCACUCUCCGUCUCAGUUCCUUAAACACGUAGACGGGGAGGAAAGGAAGCAAUCAUUAUUCAUCAAUGGGCGGAGAUAGAAUUUUCUCCAACAAUUUGUCAUCUGGUACCGGUAUUUUUAUCAUCUACAUACAGCUUUUCAGAGGUGAAAGUAAAAAUUCUAAUUCUGGUAGUAUUUGAAUUGCAGAAGACGUAUCAUUCUUGGAUCGUGAGUCUGAGUUCCCAGAUCCAUCACUUGAUUUACCUACUUUUCUAAGGUUGGUAAUUUUAGUUUCUUGAUCGCUUGAAGAGAAAAAAAAAUUUCGCUUCUUUUUCCUUCUAACGGGGGUGCUGAUGACUAGUUUGAUUUGGGUUCAGUAAAUUUUUAGCAGAGUAAAAGUAACUUAAAUGAGCGUUAUAACAGG
Molecule: long non-coding RNA, 502 nt
Filed under: Coffea arabica (coffee)
Lineage: Eukaryota; Viridiplantae; Streptophyta; Magnoliopsida; Gentianales; Rubiaceae
Description: long non-coding RNA (CARA_LNC000377)
Source: RNAcentral